Molecule: ribosomal RNA, 495 nt
Filed under: uncultured bacterium
Lineage: Bacteria
Description: partial 16S ribosomal RNA
Rfam family: Bacterial small subunit ribosomal RNA
Source: RNAcentral
AAUGAGCGCUGGCGGCGUGCUUAACGCAUGCAAGUCGAGCGAAGCAGUUAAGUUGAUUUCUUCGGAUUGAUUCUUGACUGACUGAGCGGCGGACGGGUGAGUAACGCGUGGGUGACCUGCCCCAUACCGGGGGAUAACAGCUGGAAACGGCUGCUAAUACCGCAUAAGCGCACAGAGCUGCAUGGCUCGGUGUGAAAAACUCCGGUGGUAUGGGAUGGGCCCGCGUCUGAUUAGGUAGUUGGCGGGGUAACGGCCCACCAAACCGACGAUCAGUAGCCGGCCUGAGAGGGCGACCGGCCACAUUGGGACUGAGAAACGGCCCAAACUCCUACGGGAGGCAGCAGUGGGGAAUAUUGCACAAUGGGGGAAACCCUGAUGCAGCGACGCCGCGUGAGCGAAGAAGUAUUUCGGUAUGUAAAGCUCUAUCAGCAGGGAAGAUAAUGACGGUACCUGACUAAGAAGCCCCGGCUAGCUACGUGCCAGCAGCCGCCGUAA